ACAGAACUGAAGCUUGCAAUGAAUUGUUCAGCUGAAGUGUUUUUGAUGCCAGACUACCAGUAAAGUUUCUGGACAGUUGGAAGUAACAGUAACACAGAAUGGCUGGAGACUAUUAACUUAAAAACUGAAGAGAUACAGGUCUUUGUUCUAUAUGGUGAUUGGUGGAACUACGGUGCAGUGUUGAAUUUAUAAGGUGUGAAGUUACAGAAAAGCAGAAUAGCUACAGACCAUUAAAUUUAGAAAAUGAAGAGAUGCAUGUCUCAGUUCAGCAUCGUGUAUAUGGGAAACAUUGUGGGUCACAGACAUGAAAUGAUUUGUGUGAAGUAACAGUAAAGCAGAAUGGCUACAGACAAUUAGUUCAGAAUAGAAGAAGAGAUGCAGGUCUUUGUUCUAUAAAUUAUGGUGUAUGAGAGAACCAUGGUGGAAAUUUGGAUUUCAUGGCAGUCAUAGAAAUAUCUAAUAAGUCUGUUGGACAGUGAUGUGUGUACCAGUCUGUCAGACUAUUAUGUGUCUGUCCAGUUGAAAAAAUUCGCAGCGGAUGCUUAGUUUCUCACAUAAUUUGGCAGAAUUUUCACACAAGACAGAUUGCAAAAGACUUUAGUACCCAAAAACCUGAAAUGAGAAUGCUUUGACGAUAUAAAGUUUUUCGCAUAGACGGGGAUUGGCCACCUCUGUAUAUAUAAGUCUACAACUGCUCAGAUUUGACCGAAGACAAUUGUUUGGUGUUGUGGAUGGAUGUGGUGUGGCUGCAGGCUUUCCAAUCACACAGAAGAUACUGGUUCUAUCACAAGAAGGGUCACAUCAAUUGAUAUUAGUCACUGGAAAAAUUCGGAGAACCAGUUGUAUAUGCUCAGGUUGAAAUUUAUUAAGAGAAAUAUAUGAGGUAGGGCUCUGCAGUUUUCCAUUAACACAACAAGAAGUUUACAUUUGUUGCACAGAGUUGAAGGAAAUGUUAUAGGAAAAGUGUACAGAAUGUAAGGAUAUGAUAGCCAAACACCUUCCCCAGGAUUCCAUGCAGCAACCUUCUGAUAGAAAGAUGUACCUGUUGUGCAGAGGGGAUAAGCUGGCUUGGUGACAGGAAAAAGAAAAGGAAAAUGGCCCCAGGAAAGACAAGCUACAGUAGAUACAAGUUGCUAAGGACAAGAAUGUCUGUUAUUCAUGGAAACAUCAGAGUUCAGCAGGUUCUUGAAACAGGCCAUUUGAAAUCAGAGACUAUCAGUACAUUUUUGGUGAUCAUUUGAUGAGGCCAGUUGUAGUGUUUUAACAUGAGACAGGAAAAGUGAGUUUACAUUUUGCUAGAACA
Mercenaria mercenaria is the source of this 1303-nucleotide long non-coding RNA. RefSeq lists it as uncharacterized. The record is from RefSeq and is a predicted model, not a curated record. NCBI's taxonomy places the organism in Eukaryota, Metazoa, Mollusca, Bivalvia, Venerida, Veneridae. The transcript is spliced from 11 exons.